AUAAACUUGUCAUAGAAAAAAGUGUUUGAUCACAUGAUAUACUGUAACAAAAUACCAAAAAUCAAAGUCUCAUCCACUAGCAAUUUCCUAAUACAUGAAUUACAAUUCCAACAUGGGUUACAUUAUCUACUUCAUUUACACUUCAUUACAAAAUACAAAACUUCAUGAUUACUGAUCAUCAUUGUGAGAGAAAUUAUUUUCAGCAAAAGCACCAAAGUAGUAUAAUUAGUAGUUUAUGCAACAGCACCAAAGUAGUAGCGCAGCAGAAGCAGAAUUAGAGAGGUAGCAGCAGCAACGAGUGGCAGUUCAGCAGUAGAUAAUUAGUACCAAAGCAACAGCAAAGCAGUACCACAGAAACAGCAGAACUUAUUAAUUAGAGAGAAAGCUGAUAUUUCCU
RNAcentral lists this long non-coding RNA (397 nucleotides) under Arachis ipaensis. RNAcentral's name for it is "long non-coding RNA (AIPA_LNC001429)". The record is from RNAcentral. Lineage: Eukaryota; Viridiplantae; Streptophyta; Magnoliopsida; Fabales; Fabaceae.